This is a long non-coding RNA of Bombyx mori (domestic silkworm), 411 nucleotides long. RefSeq lists it as uncharacterized. The record is from RefSeq and is a predicted model, not a curated record. The transcript has 2 exons. NCBI's taxonomy places the organism in Eukaryota, Metazoa, Arthropoda, Insecta, Lepidoptera, Bombycidae.
AAUCCAUUUACGGAUACCUUCGAUCAACAAUAGUAACUAGAUUUCGGGUCGGUGCAUAAAAUCCGUCUCGUCAAAUAGCAGCGCACUUGAAAUGUGAGCUCUUAUUUUGUUUAGUUCACUUCAAACACAGCCAAUGUCAACCCGUCUCACAAUACCGCAGUGUGUAUUCAAAAGUUGCAAAAAUAAGGCCCGAAAAAGCAAUUUAACGGCCGGAGUAUCUUACUUUCGCUUUCCUAGCAAUCACGUGUGCAGAAUGGAUCUCGAUUGUCGCCAGAGAAAAAAGAGAUGACUUUUAUAAGCCAGCUAAGAACUCCGCUUAUUGACACUGGACAUCUUUGCCUUCCGAGCUCACGGCUACUGAAAUGUGGCCGAAACAUUGUAAUAAAAAUACCACGCUUGAAACCGUUUAAA